Molecule: ribosomal RNA, 298 nt
Filed under: Cystobasidium sp.
Lineage: Eukaryota; Fungi; Basidiomycota; Cystobasidiomycetes; Cystobasidiales; Cystobasidiaceae
Description: partial large subunit ribosomal RNA
Rfam family: Eukaryotic large subunit ribosomal RNA
Source: RNAcentral
AAGAAGUGUUUUCUGUGCCGGUUCAUGUAUGAGUCUGUUGGAACACAGCGUCAUAGAGGGUGACAACCCCGUUCAUGACAUGGAUCCCGGUGCUUUGUGCCCCACUCUCGAAGAGUCGAGUUGUUUGGGAAUGCAGCUCAAAUUGGGUGGUAAAUUCCAUCUAAAGCUAAAUAUUGGCGAGAGACCGAUAGCAAACAAGUACCGUGAGGGAAAGAUGAAAAAUCACUUUGGAAAGAGAGUUAACAGUACGUGAAAUUGUUGAAAGGGAAACGAUUGAAGUCAGACGUGCGUGAUGCGG